AAGGCUUAACAUGAAUGUUGAUUGUAAUCUGACAGCUUUAAGCUAAGUUUAAUUAGUUAAUGCUGCUAUUUGUGAAGCCUAGAAUGUUUUUUCCCUUGCUAUCCAAGGCUGCAUUACAUGUUGCAUUGGACGUUGGGAAACUACUCUU
Hevea brasiliensis (rubber tree) is the source of this 148-nucleotide small nucleolar RNA. RefSeq annotates it as small nucleolar RNA snoR136. The record is from RefSeq and is a predicted model, not a curated record. The transcript has a single exon. Lineage: Eukaryota; Viridiplantae; Streptophyta; Magnoliopsida; Malpighiales; Euphorbiaceae.